RNAcentral lists this ribosomal RNA (634 nucleotides) under uncultured bacterium. RNAcentral describes it as "bacterial SSU rRNA". The stretch from base 1 to 537 matches the Rfam family "Bacterial small subunit ribosomal RNA", at positions 338 to 873 of the family's 1533-position model. The record is from RNAcentral.
CCUACGGGAGGCAGCAGUAAGGAAUAUUGGGCAAUGGAGGCAACUCUGACCCAGCCAUGCCGCGUGAAGGAUGACGGCCCUACGGGUUGUAAACUUCUUUUGUAUGGGAAUAAACCCGGUUACGUGUAACCGGUUGAAUGUACCAUAAGAAUAAGCAUCGGCUAACUCCGUGCCAGCAGCCGCGGUAAGACGGAGGAUGCAAGCGUUAUCCGGAUUUAUUGGGUUUAAAGGGAGCGUAGGCGGGAUAAUAAGUCAGUGGUGAAAUCUUGGGGCUCAACCCCGAAACUGCCAUUGAUACUGUUAACCUAGAGUACAUUUGAUGUGGGCGGAAUGUGUCAUGUAGCGGUGAAAUGCUUAGAUAUGACACAGAACACCGAUUGCGUAGGCAGCUCACAAAACUGUAACUGACGCUGAGGCUCGAAAGCGUGGGGAUCAAACAGGAUUAGAUACCCUGGUAGUCCACGCCGUAAACUAUGAUCACUCGAUGUUGGCGAUACACUGUCAGCGUCUGAGCGAAGACAUUAAGUAGUAUCCACCGUACGGGAGGUACGGUCGGCGAACGACGUAGAAACGUUAAAGGUAAAGUUAGUACGGACGUGAGACGUAGACCGACGGACGACGACGAGGGAGGAGG